GUAUCUCUUCCUAUUUGGAAACGAAAAGUUCCGCCACUAGACGUGCUGGGAAACGCCUCCUCCCGCUGGGUCCCUUCCCGUGCAGAGGCACUGUACAAACGAACACAAGAAAACGAAACGACGGCUCCGGGGAAGCUCACUGGCUCGAUCGAACCUCAAUCAACCGCCGAUUGGUGUUUUGGGGGGCGACCGUACGUAAACAUUGGCUUUGGGAAUGGAAACGGCUGAAGGCAGUCCCGUUAAGAUUGGUCAGGAGAGACCUCUGCUGCAAAGCACUGAUGAUGAGCAUGCUGGCUGUGAAGAUCGGCUUAAAUAUGUCGACCAAGACCCUGAAUCCUCUGCCCGUGAAAUGCAGUGCAUUGAGCAAAAGGCUGAUAUAUCUCUAAUAGAAUUAUAGGAUCGACUUGCUGAGGUGAAGCAUGUUCAUGUUAUGAUUUACCGAUUAUUCAUUUGAUCGACUUACCUUCGAGAUUACGGGUCAGAUAGUGGUCGACUUAUAAAGCUUCUCAUUGCAGAGGAGAAAGUAUUUGUACCGACAAAUCAGGGCCAGGCUGCUGAUUGCUCAAAUCAGUUUUGUAAUUUACCUGAUGAGGUUCUCAUUCAGAUCCCCGUCUCUGCUCCCACUGAAGUUUGCAGUGGGAACACCUGUGGGCUUUGGUUCCUGAUCUUCACUUCAGGGAUUCUGACUUAUCUAAGAGGCCGUUCUUCUUGGGCCUUGUGGGAAGAGCCUUUGCUCUUCGCGAGGGAUCUCCUAUGAG
This is a non-coding RNA of Punica granatum (pomegranate), 758 nucleotides long. The record is from RefSeq and is a predicted model, not a curated record. Lineage: Eukaryota; Viridiplantae; Streptophyta; Magnoliopsida; Myrtales; Lythraceae.